RNAcentral lists this ribosomal RNA (253 nucleotides) under uncultured bacterium. Its description in RNAcentral is "partial 16S ribosomal RNA". It matches the Rfam family "Bacterial small subunit ribosomal RNA", at positions 524 to 776 of the family's 1533-position model. The record is from RNAcentral.
UACGUAGGGGGCAAGCGUUAUCCGGAAUUACUGGGCGUAAAGAGUGCGCAGGCGGCGCGAUAAGUUGGAUGCGAAAUCUGGUGGCUCAACCACUAGACUGUAUCUGAAACUAUCGCACUAGAGAGUAGUAGAGGCAAGCGGAACUUGCGGUGUAGCAGUGAAAUGUGUAGAUAUCGCAAAGAACACCAAUGGCGAAGGCAGCUUGCUGGGCUAUUUCUGACGCUCAGGCACGAAAGCGUGGGGAGCGAACGGG